This is a long non-coding RNA of Oryzias melastigma (Indian medaka), 1903 nucleotides long. RefSeq lists it as uncharacterized. The record is from RefSeq and is a predicted model, not a curated record. The transcript has 2 exons. Lineage: Eukaryota; Metazoa; Chordata; Actinopteri; Beloniformes; Adrianichthyidae.
GUGACCACACCCAAAGUCGUCAAGGCAACCUUCUUCUUAAUUGGCAGGCUGGCAAAGGACAAGUUAGCCUGGGGAGGAAGACAGUGGGGAAGAGUCGGUUAUGCCGUCCUGCACACACGGAGUGGAGAGGAGCCUGCAGGUGUCCUCCACAGCCUCCAGAGGGCGCCGCUGAGCGCACUUUUGUCUUUGCUGAUGCUGCUCUGGACUGUGGAUCUCAGAGGAGAGACUUCAGCCUCUCAGCUUCUUCUCAGAGGAAGACUGCAGCUUGAUGAAGAGGAUCCUCUGGGGGCGUGUCUUCAGCUCCUCCGUGGACAGGAAGUGCAGCACCUCCUGGAUCUACCUGAAGUAGCCCUUAUCCACAGCUGCUGCUGUAGCAAGCGUAUAAGCGCUCUCUCUUCGGAGAUGCAGUCAGCUGCAGCUGCUGUAGGUGCCAUGGUUGGAGCUGGUAGCUAUCUGAGCAGAGGAUAUGCUUCUUUCUCUGGUUUUAGUCCUAAAUCUAAGUAUUCCAAAUAACCUCAGAUGUGUUUAAACAUUUGGCUUUAAUCCACAGUCAGCAUGAAGGACGCCGCAGUGUCAUUAACAUUUAACCACCAUUUAUUGAAAGUCUUAAAAAUCUGAACCGUAACCUUUGGGUCAGAAACGCUUCGUGAAGCUUCAAACCACCUGAAACCCAGAGAAGAGGUUUCAUGCCUUUAAGGAAAAGCGGGUCUGGAGCGAGGCUGAGGUGGGGGCCGCACACUCAUGGAUGGCGGGGUCUCUGCUUCACUGUGCUCUCACAUCACAUGAGGACAGCGGGGCUAUUUUCAGCCUCCAUGUCCCUGUGGAGCAGAGAGGGGAAUGGGGGCGGGGUUCUCCACUCGUCAUCCAUUAUGCAGCGUUUUAGUCACAGCUGAGAGGAAGCAGCAAAACAAACAUGGUGGUGGACGCCAGCUCAUUUCUGCUCACAUCCUCACAGAAUGACCCUGGGGGGGGUCAUUUGAAUCUGCCUGCACCACAGGACUCUGUUUCCUACAAAUGACUGAUGAAUCCAGGAAGCACUCACCUUUUUCAUGGAUGUUCUGAUUAAAUCCAGUCAGAUUUUGGACAUGAAUUCGUUUGUGAAGGAAAGACCAAUAAUAACGAGGAUUGACGGCUGACGCAAUAAAGCUGCAUGGUAGUGACAAGCGUUUCCAGGUUGAACGCUGUCCUCCGUCUCGACUUUCCUUUAGAGCCACAGCAACGAAAAAACAGAAAAAGAUGCAACGUUUGGGAGAUUCCAGGACAAACUUGAGCUGCUGAACACAAAAAACUCAUGAAUCCAGCCGUCGGUUAUUUCUGUGAGGGUUUAUUGUAGUGAAACAGUACCACACUGGGAAACAGCGGGGAAAAAUACAAGUGUUACAGCAUUCAGGGCUGAAUCUGACCAACACACGUCAUGUCGGAGACUCCUGUCUCAUUCUGUCCGUUUGUGGGAGGUUUUCAGGAAAACAAAGAAACUAAAUAUUUUCUGUAAACCUGAAGCCUGAAUUUCUGAAGCAGCAAAUUAAUAAUCUGACAGAGACCAAAUUCAUCCCCAAUCUAUGAAAAUCAAUGUGUUAUACACCCCCAAACAUCCCCAUCACACUACACUAUCACACAAGCACCCCCACCACCCCCCAUGCUGCUGUCUCCAGUCCUGAUCGUCUUUGUCUACACGUUGACCAGCCGGGGCUGAAAUAACAGUCAGGAAGUCCAGGUUCUGCCUCACACACCUGCUUCUAUUUCCUGAUUAGAGAGGUGUAAAAAUGAUUUGUUUUGCUCCAAAAGUAUAAAAAGUGAUUUAAAGAGCUUAAGUGAACAAAAUUGACAGGUGUGUAACGGUCAGCAGUGUUCAAAUCAUCGAUUUUUGACUGACAGUUUCCAGUAAAUGUUAGAACAAACUAAA